RNAcentral lists this ribosomal RNA (491 nucleotides) under uncultured archaeon. Its description in RNAcentral is "bacterial SSU rRNA". It matches the Rfam family "Archaeal small subunit ribosomal RNA", at positions 858 to 1348 of the family's 1478-position model. The record is from RNAcentral.
UAGGAAUUGGCGGGGGAGCACUACAAGGGGUGCGGCGUGCGGUUUAAUCUAACUCCACUCAGAGAAUCUCACCAGAAGCGACGGCAGGAUGAAAGUCAGAUUGAAGGUUUUACUUGACGAGCCGAGAGGUGGUGCAUGGCCGCCGUCAGCUCGUGCCGUGAGGUGUCCAGCUAAGCCUGGUAACGAGCGAGACCUGCGUCCACAAUUGCUAACGGGUGCUUUUGCAUGACUGCGCACAUUGUGGGGACUGCCCUGGAAACGGGGAGGAAGGUGCAGGCUACGGUAGGUCUGUAUGCCCCGAAUCUUCUGGGCUACACGCGCGCAACAAUGGUAAGGACAAUGGGCUACGACUCCGAAAAGGAGAAGUUAAUCCUCGAAACCUUAUCCAAGUCCAGAUUGAGGGUUGUAACCCACCCUCAUGACGAUGGAAUCCCUAGUAAUCGGGUUUUAUCAGAGCCCGGUGAAUACGUCCCUGCUCCUUGCACACACCG